UUUAAAUUGAAGAGUUUGAUCAUGGCUCAGAUUGAACGCUGGCGGCAGGCCUAACACAUGCAAGUCGAACGGUAGCACAGAGAGCUUGCUCUCGGGUGACGAGUGGCGGACGGGUGAGUAAUGUCUGGGAAACUGCCUGAUGGAGGGGGAUAACUACUGGAAACGGUAGCUAAUACCGCAUAACGUCGCAAGACCAAAGAGGGGGACCUUCGGGCCUCUUGCCAUCAGAUGUGCCCAGAUGGGAUUAGCUAGUAGGUGGGGUAACGGCUCACCUAGGCGACGAUCCCUAGCUGGUCUGAGAGGAUGACCAGCCACACUGGAACUGAGACACGGUCCAGACUCCUACGGGAGGCAGCAGUGGGGAAUAUUGCACAAUGGGCGCAAGCCUGAUGCAGCCAUGCCGCGUGUAUGAAGAAGGCCUUCGGGUUGUAAAGUACUUUCAGCGGGGAGGAAGGUGUUGCGGUUAAUAACCGCAGCAAUUGACGUUACCCGCAGAAGAAGCACCGGCUAACUCCGUGCCAGCAGCCGCGGUAAUACGGAGGGUGCAAGCGUUAAUCGGAAUUACUGGGCGUAAAGCGCACGCAGGCG
This 588-nucleotide ribosomal RNA is filed under the name Enterobacter cloacae. RNAcentral describes it as "bacterial SSU rRNA". It matches the Rfam family "Bacterial small subunit ribosomal RNA", at positions 1 to 577 of the family's 1533-position model. Lineage: Bacteria; Pseudomonadati; Pseudomonadota; Gammaproteobacteria; Enterobacterales; Enterobacteriaceae. The record is from RNAcentral.